Molecule: long non-coding RNA, 412 nt
Organism: Malurus melanocephalus (red-backed fairy wren)
Lineage: Eukaryota; Metazoa; Chordata; Aves; Passeriformes; Maluridae
Exons: 3
Source: RefSeq, a predicted model, not a curated record
CCAGUGAGUAAGUACCSGACUCAGCGGUCGCCAGCAGUAUUUCACUUUGGGUGGUAGCUGGUCUCUAGCAYGGGAGUGUAGAACGAGCCAGUUUGGCUGCAAUGACCGAGAUUUUCACCGCCCAACACCAAAGUUUGCCAACGAGCCGGUGAAMGCACAGAGAGGAGGAAACUCUCGGAAAAGCACAAUUAAAAAAACGUGAUGGCUGUUCAUUUGUAAGGACUUUGAAAACAAGCAAACAGACAAUAAGCAAAACCAGAUUUACCUUUCCAUAAAUCCAAGAAAAGAACAUCAACUGCUUUUUCUCUGAAAAACAGGAAAAGCUAUAACACAGCAACCAUUUAAAUGCAUUAUAUUUGAAGUGCUGUURCAACAAGAAGAGCUGUCCAUGUGGAGAAAACAAAUUAGCAAA